GACAGAGGGUGCAAACGUUGCUCGGAAUUACUGGGCGUAAAGCGCGUGUAGGCUGACCGGCAAGUCGGGCGUGAAAUCCCUGAGCUCAACUCAGGAACUGCACUCGAAACUCUCGGUCUAGAGUGGUGGAGAGGGAAGUGGAAUUCCUGGUGUAGAGGUGAAAUUCGUAGAUAUCAGGAGGAACACCAGUGGCGAAGGCGGCUUCCUGGACACCAACUGACGCUGAGACGCGAAAGCGUGGGGAGCAAACAGG
This 253-nucleotide ribosomal RNA is filed under the name uncultured bacterium. RNAcentral's name for it is "partial 16S ribosomal RNA". It matches the Rfam family "Bacterial small subunit ribosomal RNA", at positions 524 to 776 of the family's 1533-position model. The record is from RNAcentral.